RNAcentral lists this ribosomal RNA (380 nucleotides) under Cynoglossus semilaevis (tongue sole). Its description in RNAcentral is "partial 16S ribosomal RNA". It matches the Rfam family "Bacterial large subunit ribosomal RNA", at positions 701 to 1171 of the family's 2925-position model. The record is from RNAcentral. Lineage: Eukaryota; Metazoa; Chordata; Actinopteri; Pleuronectiformes; Cynoglossidae.
CUUAGUCUAAAACCCCGAAACUUAGUGAGCUACUCCAAACCAGCAUAACCAUUUAGUGCCUACCCGUCUCUGUUGCAAAAGAGUGGGGAGAGUUUUGAGUAGAGGUGACAAGCCUACCGAACUGAGUUAUAGCUGGUUUUCUGAGAAGUGAAUAUAAGUUCAGCCUUUAAAAUUCUCCAUUUCCUUACCUUUUAACAGAACAAAAGAAUAAAAAGAAAUUUAAAGAGUUAAUUAAAGGGGGGACAGCCCCUUUAAUAUAAGAAACAACUACUACCAGAAGGGUAAAGAUCACAUAUAAUGAAGGUCAAUUACUUAUGUAGGCCUAAAAGCAGCCACCCAAUCAGAAAGCGUUAAAGCUCAUGUAAUAUUUCUCUAAAAAU